RNAcentral lists this ribosomal RNA (507 nucleotides) under uncultured bacterium. RNAcentral describes it as "bacterial SSU rRNA". It matches the Rfam family "Bacterial small subunit ribosomal RNA", at positions 8 to 524 of the family's 1533-position model. The record is from RNAcentral.
AGAGUUUGAUCCUGGCUCAGAAUGAACGUAGGCGGCGUGGAUUAGGCAUGCAAGUCGAACGAAUCCCAUGGGGGUAACUCUGUGGGGGAAGUGGCGAAAGGGGCAGUAACGUUUGGAUAACCUACCCUCGGGUCGUGAAUAGCCUUUCUAACGAUUGGGUAAUGCACGGCGAUAUCACCGGCCGGCAUCGGCUGGUGAUGAAAGAACCUCGCCUGAGGAGGGGUCCAAAUAGUAUCAGCUAGUUGGUGGGGUAACGGCCUACCAAGGCUAAGACGCUUAGCGGGUGUGAGAGCACGACCCGCGCCACUGGCACUGAGACACUGGCCAGACUCCUACGGGAGGCUGCAGUCGAGGAUCUUCGGCAAUGGGCGCAAGCCUGACCGAGCGACGCCGCGUGUGCGAUGAAGGCCUUCGGGUUGUAAAGCACUGUCGAGAGGGAGAAAGCCGCAAGGUUGAUCUAUCUCUGGAGGAAGGACGGGCUAAGUUCGUGCCAGCAGCCGCGGUAAU